CACGUAGGAGACAAGCGUUAUCCGGAUUUACUGGGUGUAAAGCGCGUGCAGGCGGUCGGAUAAGUUGGAUGUGAAAGCUCCCGGCUUAACUGGGAGAGGUCGUUCAAUACUGUCGGACUAGAGGAUGGCAGAGGAGAGUGGAAUUCCGAGUGUAGCGGUAAAAUGCAUAGAUAUUCGGAAGAACACCAGUGGCGAAGGCGGCUCUCUGGGCCAUAUCUGACGCUCAGACGCGAAAGCUAGGGUAGCAAACGGG
This 253-nucleotide ribosomal RNA is filed under the name uncultured bacterium. RNAcentral describes it as "partial 16S ribosomal RNA". It matches the Rfam family "Bacterial small subunit ribosomal RNA", at positions 524 to 776 of the family's 1533-position model. The record is from RNAcentral.